This 431-nucleotide ribosomal RNA is filed under the name uncultured bacterium. RNAcentral describes it as "partial 16S ribosomal RNA". It matches the Rfam family "Bacterial small subunit ribosomal RNA", at positions 29 to 507 of the family's 1533-position model. The record is from RNAcentral.
AACGAACGCUGGCGGCAUGCCUAACACAUGCAAGUCGAACGAGACCUUCGGGUCUAGUGGCGCACGGGUGCGUAACGCGUGGGAACCUGCCCUUAGGUUCGGAAUAACUCCCCGAAAGGGGUGCUAAUACCGGAUAAUGUCUUCGGACCAAAGAUUUAUCGCCUUUGGAUGGGCCCGCGUUGGAUUAGCUAGUUGGUAGGGUAAAAGCCUACCAAGGCGACGAUCCAUAGCUGGUCUGAGAGGAUGAUCAGCCACACUGGGACUGACACGGCCCAGACUCCUACGGGAAGCAGCAGUGGGGAAUAUUGGACAAUGGGCGAAAGCCUGAUCCAGCAAUGCCGCGUGAGUGAUGAAGGCCUUAGGGUUGUAAAGCUCUUUUACCCGGGAUGAUAAUGACAGUACCGGGAGAAUAAGCUCCGGCUAACUCCGUG